GCUGAUCAUUUACGGGGAAUCGAUUCCCGCGGGCGCGCUGGCGGCCGGGAGCGUGCGACGUCGGGCCCAAUUCCCCCUAUUGUGAGUCGUAUUAACUUCGGAAACGGGGGCUAAUACCGGAUAUUUCCUGUGCAUCGCAUGGUGUGUGGGGGAAAGUUUUUUCGGCCAGGGAUGGGCUCGCGGCCUAUCAGCUUGUUGGUGGGGUGAUGGCUUACCAAGGCUUUGACGGGUAGCCGGCCUGAGAGGGCGACCGGCCACACUGGGACUGAGACACGGCCCAGACUCCUACGGGAGGCAGCAGUGGGAAUAUUGCACAAUGGACGCAAGUCUGAUGCAGCGACGCCGCGUGAGGGAUGACGGCCUUCGGGUUGUAAACCUCUUUCGCCAAGGAUGAAGCGAAAGUGACGGUACUUGGAGAAGAAGCGCCGGCCAACUACGUGCCAGCAGCCGCGGUAAGACGUAGGGCGCGAGCGUUGUCCGGAUUUAUUGGGCGUAAAGAGCUCGUAGGCGGCUUGUUGCGUCGUCCGUGAAAACCUGGGGCUCAACUUCAGGUCUGCGGACGAUACGGGCAGGCUGGAGUUCGGUAGGGGAGACUGGAAUUCCUGGUGUAGCGGUGAAAUGCGCAGAUAUCAGGAGGAACACCGGUGGCGAAGGCGGGUCUCUGGGCCGAUACUGACGCUGAGGAGCGAAAGCGUGGGGAGCGAACAGGAUUAGAUACCCUGGUAGUCCACGCUGUAAACGUUGGGCGCUAGGUGUGGGGGGCCUCUCCGGUUUCCUGCGCCGUAGCUAACGCAUUAAGCGCCCCGCCUGGGGAGUACGGCCGCAAGGCUA
This 831-nucleotide ribosomal RNA is filed under the name uncultured Actinomycetes bacterium. Its description in RNAcentral is "bacterial SSU rRNA". It matches the Rfam family "Bacterial small subunit ribosomal RNA", at positions 61 to 896 of the family's 1533-position model. The record is from RNAcentral. Lineage: Bacteria; Bacillati; Actinomycetota; Actinomycetes.